GUAGGUCGUUUCAUGGGAUUUGAGUCUGAGACAUUAAUUGCCUGUAGAUAACCAAUGACCUCCGGGUGGAUAAAUACGGGAUGCAUCGCACAGUCCUCACAGCGCCAGAUAUUUCAGGUGGACUGACUAAAAAGCAUCAGUCCCUCUGGUUUUAGUAGCACAAGUGACAGCAGAAGCCAAAACCUGGGCUGGUGUUGCCUCCAGGCAGGGACAAAGGAGAGUUAGGUCAGACUGGGGAGUGGAUCUCACUCCCCAUGGACUAGGAUUGGCAUCGAGGUUGCAUGCAGCUGUUUGACAGUGACAAUCAGCCUCAUCCUCUGGCUGGAGCCUGCAGUAGUCAAGGAGGUUAUCUUUACAGACCUGGAUCUGGAGAUUGGUCUGGAACCCCUGCUGUCCUAGGACACACACUUAGGGGCUCUUUCUGGGAAUCCUUGAUGCUGAUUUCCAUUGUAACCUAUGUUUCUGUUGAUUCCCUUAAAGGAGACGGUUUGGGUCCUUCUAAAGAGCUUCCUGGGUUGGAUUGACUUCAUGUACAUAUUGGGGAGUUUCUGCUUGCUCAUAUUCCACUGUCCUUCUCUUACACUUUGUCUAAUUGGAAAGGUCCACUGAGAUACAAGAGGAGAGAAGAACUCAAGUGUGUACCUGUAGGCUCCAGAUCACACACCGGAGGGAGUCCCAUGUGCCCUGAGGGGGAUCGGCGAUUGCAGGUAUAUUGACUGGAAAAUUGGGAAGACAGCCGAUGUGAACCAGAAACUACUUCCAGGCACAGCUACUGCGUCUACAAGUUACUGUAAAAUUGCAGAAGCGUCUAUUCCAAGUGCCUGAGUGGGCUGAGGAGCUUGGGAUCGUGUGAGAUCCGUGUCGGCUCCAGUGCAGUCUCUAGGUCUUUCUUGUUUCUGACAUGACUGGAGUCAGCCUCCCUCUGUCCCCAUCACUGUCUCUCUGGAGAGACCGGGUGCCCUGGAAAAGGAGCUCCUGCCUGUGUGGACAUGAGCAGGCAGAGGGUGCAUCGAUGGGAAUGGCUCAGUCUACAGGGGAUCAGAGGAACGGACAUGCUUAGAUCGACAGACCCAUGUAGGGGGCUCAGACCCUCAGAUGCUGGUGACAGAGGUGAUGUCAAUCACAGAGGAGUGAAGGUGUGAUCAGGGGCCCCAGGGGGGUGGUUUAUGUCUCACUUCCUCGUGGGCACACAGCACUGAGUACACUGAGGUCUCUGUCAUAUGUGUGACAGUAACAAUCACCUCGUCCUCAGGCUGGAGCCCACAGAUGGUCAAAGAGACCACGUUGCCUGACUUGGAGACAGAGAAUCAUCUGGAAUCUCUCAGGGCCUGGUACUUCCAAGAGUCAGAGUUUUGGGGCAGCACCACUGACAGCUGGAACCAACACACACUAUGGGAUCCAAUGUUGCUGUUCCCGGAGCAGGAGAUGGUGACCUCCUGGUCCAGGGUCCCUGACACCGAGGAUGGCUGGGUCAGCAAAGACCGUGCCCAGGACCCUGAAAUGAGGGACACAGAGUCACAGAGGUG
Molecule: long non-coding RNA, 1526 nt
Filed under: Equus caballus (horse)
Lineage: Eukaryota; Metazoa; Chordata; Mammalia; Perissodactyla; Equidae
Description: lncRNA (ENSECAG00000051766.1)
Source: RNAcentral